RNA transcript from Cataglyphis hispanica, 3275 nucleotides. RefSeq lists it as uncharacterized. The record is from RefSeq and is a predicted model, not a curated record. Lineage: Eukaryota; Metazoa; Arthropoda; Insecta; Hymenoptera; Formicidae. The transcript is spliced from 6 exons.
CGUCGUAAGGACUAAGAAAUGAGAGAAGAGGAACGAGAAACACACAGAGGCAAAGUGUCAGGCAACAGGCUCUAAUCUCUUAAUUACCAGUGAAUAGGCGCGCACCGCGUGCGGCCGUGCUAAAGACGAUGCGGGGAUUACCGGUAAUAGUACUCUCGAAAACCAUGCUCGUAUAAGGAAAACAACAAUCUUACAAGGAAACAUAUAAGAUAUCAGAGAUUUCGAGAUUACGCGCGACUAUCAGCUUUGACAUUUUGCAAACAGCCGCAGAGGGAAAUGACGAUUCAGCAGAUAUCGGGAACGUCCGACGGAUUCCUAAUUGACAGUCUCGCAGUGUGGAGCCACGAUUCGCCGACACGUCAGCUGGCUGCAAUCGUAAGCGUAAAAUAAAAUAGGACAAGCGGAAGUGCGGCAAAAUUUAUCAGAAGAAUAAGAGCGAUGCAAGAACUAUUAUUCAACAAAUAAAAUGAACGUAUCACAAGAAAUGAACGACACGAUCAUCAAACAGUUCUUCAAAAUGGUACUUCGGAAAGAAUUUUGUGAUGAAACGAUUAACGUGCUUCAUGUAGAGAGUAAUUCCAACUUAACAAAGGGAACCAACUUUCUUAGUGAUUUCUUCAAAGUGCGAAUUUCAUAUACCAUUCCAUCCAAAAGUGAUAAGAAAAUCCCCAUACAAAUCGCUGAUAUCGUCAUGAAAUCGGAGCCUAUAAGCGGCAUACAGUUGACAAUGGUUCGCGACCAAGGUUUGUUUAUAUGCGAAUUAACAAUGUUGAAAGACGUGCUGCCAAAGAUCGAGAAGCUCGUGCAGAAGCAAUUGGGACCGAAAUUAUGGUACGGAUCGCCAGAAUUUAGAAUUCUUGUUAUGGAGAAUCUAUCGGAAAGAGGAUUCGUUAUGAAAGAUCGACAAAAAGGACUGCCGAUGGAACAUUGUCUUCUUGUGAUCGAACAAUUAGCCAAACUACACGCGGGUUCCGUGGCAUUACACGAGAAGGAACCCAAGUUGAUCGAAUCAUUUAAAAACGGCGGGAUUCUGUCUGCAAAUUGUCCAGCGAGUUUUAUGCGAAUGUCGGAAGUGUCUCUGUUGAACGUGAGUAAAGCGAUUCGAGAUUGGAGGGAUCAGAAGUACGCGCACAUCGCGAAUAAAUUAGAUAGACUGGUGAAGACAUUUAGAGAUAGAUGCACCAACAUUUACAAAUACGAUACUAACGAAUUCUGUGUUUUAAAUCAUGGUGAUUGUUGGAUUAACAACAUAAUGUUCAAAGAAAAUGACAAUGGAAAACUCAGCGACGUUCUAAUGGUGGAUUAUCAAAUGUCUGUUUAUUCAUCUCCAGCUAUUGAUUUGCACUAUUUUUUAAGCAUUUGUCCGCAAAUAGAACUAAAAUUCGAGAAUGAUGAUUUCUUAUUGAAUUCAUACUUGAAAAUCUUGACGAAUACAAUGAUUUUGAUAGGCUGUGCUACAAAAGCACCUACAAUGGAAAAAUUAAAAGCAGCCCUGCAUAAGAGACGAAUAUGCGCUGUGUUUGCAGGUGUUAUACUUAACUUGAGAAUGAUGGCCGAUGCGAAAGAUACUGAAGAUUUCGCGGUUUUGUUAGAAAAGUUGCAGGGAGAGACAAAGAUGGACGUAUUUAAGAAUCCAGAUACAGUGAUAUUAGCUCAAAAGAUGAUUCCUAUUAUGGAUCAAAGAGGCUAUUUCGAUUAGCUAAUCGAAAUAGCCUCUUCGAAAAGUAGCGUAUUCAGUAAUUAUUAACGUGUAAUUUUAUCUUAUUAUUAAUAUGCAGUUUUUUAUUUUUAUUAAACAAAGAAUAAAUGUAGCAUGCAUCUAAUAAAAAAUAUUUAAAUUGUAUUUAUUACAUAUAUAUGUAUAUAAUAAACAGAUAACUAACUAUUUAUUAUAUACAUAUAUGUAAUAAUAUAUUGUAUACAUUCUUUUCUAACAAUUUUGUUAAGAAAUAUUCCGGCAUGACGUUUAUUCUCUCUGUUGUGAUUAAAGAGAUUAAAGAGUUAAUUUCUGUAUUAAUAAUAAUAUUUUAAACUAAAUAAAAACUGUAUAAAUUAUAUUUUGUGUGUAAACCGUUCGAGACGGCGAAAAGUCAAGAUGUUAUGCAAGCACGACAAAGAUAAAGUUUCAGUCAAAAGAUUCUCGUUAAAGAAAAGAAUGAAACAUUCGCAAAAUUUCAAUAGUAAUUGAUUUAUUGUAAGGCAGUAAAACAUUUGUCCAAAAAAAAACCCCAUGUUGCUUUCGGUCACCUACCUACAUUAUGAACAGAAAGAUUGUUGUGGCAGAUCUAGACGCUGACCUGGACAAAACUAUUUGGAUGCAACUCUUGUUUUUUUCACUAAAAAAAAAAAUAUCGAUCUCUCUUAUACUCAAGACGAAAGAAUCGGUCUAUCUCUUUUUCUGUUUUUUUUUUCUUUUCUUUCUUUUUUUUUCCAAUCGUGCCCAAGUGUCUUUCCAUUUGAGAAUGAGAAAUUUAUUUGUACUCGUUAACUUAAACAUUUCGUAAAUCACCGCUCAAAAAGGGCAAAAUCAAACAAUUCAGUAGCCGAUUUUUGGUGACUUUGGUGACUCCGCAUGACACGCAAAGAAGGAGAAAAGGGGCUAAGGACCCUGCACUAGGAGAAUAAUGGUAUAUAUCCGUUCGGCAUAUCCGUAAAAUAGGUCCGGGUUAUUUGGGCCAUCAAUGCAACCGAUUUCAGUAGCAAAGCUGAAAAGUCUCACUUGAGUUAGUCCAUUAGAGAGGCAGCCGAACUCUCUUCACAACACGCGUUUAAAUGAUAUUCUCUUGUGCAUGGAUGAGAAGAAUGACAAACAAACUAAUAGACAAAAGUUUGGAAAUUAAAUAAUUUAUAAAUUAAAUAAUAAGUUCUUUUAAAUGAAUUUUAACACAAUUCCAGCUAUUUUAAUUGCAGAAUAAAAGUUUUCACAUUUCUGUCGCGAAGAUUAUGAAAAAUUUCAAGAAUUUUAAAAGUAUGGCACAAAGAUAGUACUGGCUCAGACUUGCGUGUUAAAAUAUAACUCCUAUUUGGGGUCAUGACAAUUUUUAUAUUAUAAUGUAUACGUAAUAUUCUUAGAGGAAGAAAAGAUAUGGAUAUAUAUAUACAUAUAUAUUAUAUAAUGUGUAUGUGUAAAAUCUAAACACCUGUAAAAUGGUUCUACACAUUAAUACCACUCACCCAACGAAUCUGUCAACGUCUACCAUCCUGAAUAAUGCCUUUUCUCGCGGUGUUCUGGAAGAAAUAGCGACAAGACUGCUGGCAGCUUCCGUGGCUUAUAA